AUGUCGGGUGCAGUGGUGUGCUGCAAACUUGCGAUGGGGGCGGCCAGGUGGUGCGUGGCUGUGUGUGUGGCGAUAUAUGGAGCUCCGGAGAUUCCUAUUGGAUUGCCGAGACUUGGUCUUGGUUCUGCCAUUGGUCUUUAUGAAGCUUUGGAACUGAGAGACCGUGGAUCUGACUACUUGGGAAAGGGUGUUUCCAAGGCCUUGAACAAGAUCAGUACGGUGCCGAUGGAGGCCCUCGCCGCCGGCGCCGAUGUGUCCAUGAUUGGGCAGUUUGGUGUUGGCUUCUACUCCGCCUACCCUGUUGCCGAGAGGGUCGUCGUCACCAUGAAGCACAACAACGACGAGCAGUACGUGUGGGAGUCCCAGGCCGGUAGCUCCUUCACCGUCACUCGUGAUAUGUUUGGGGAGCAGCUCGGCAGGGGUACCAAGAUGGUCCUCUACCUCAAGGACGACUAG
Molecule: ribosomal RNA, 456 nt
Filed under: Triticum aestivum (bread wheat)
Lineage: Eukaryota; Viridiplantae; Streptophyta; Magnoliopsida; Poales; Poaceae
Description: partial small subunit ribosomal RNA
Source: RNAcentral